UGUGUGUCUAGGGUUGGAGGAGG
RNAcentral lists this unclassified non-coding RNA (23 nucleotides) under Mus musculus (house mouse). RNAcentral's name for it is "oocyte_clustered_small_RNA13636". The record is from RNAcentral. Lineage: Eukaryota; Metazoa; Chordata; Mammalia; Rodentia; Muridae.